AGAUGUUUUGAGACUACAAUUCCCAUCGUCCCUGACCACUGGUUCUGCUAGCUAGGGAUGAUGGGAGUUGUAGUCCCAAAACAUCU
This is a non-coding RNA of Podarcis lilfordi (Lilford's wall lizard), 86 nucleotides long. The record is from the annotation of a GenBank genome assembly. Lineage: Eukaryota; Metazoa; Chordata; Lepidosauria; Squamata; Lacertidae.